Long non-coding RNA from Dreissena polymorpha, 871 nucleotides. RefSeq lists it as uncharacterized. The transcript is spliced from 4 exons. The record is from RefSeq and is a predicted model, not a curated record. Lineage: Eukaryota; Metazoa; Mollusca; Bivalvia; Myida; Dreissenidae.
CCCUGUUAGGUACAGCAAUCACUUGGAGUAGUAUGCCAUCAUUUUGUGUGCCACCCUGUUAGGUACAGCAAUCACUUGGAGUAUUAUGCCAUCAUUUUGUGUGCCACCCUGUUAGGUACAGCAAUCACUUGGAGUAUUAUGCCAUCAUUUUGUAUGCCACCCUGUUAGGUACAGCAAUCACUUGGAGUAGUAUGCCAUCAUUUUGUGUGCCACCCUGUUAGGUACAGCAAUCACUUGGAGUAUUAUGCCAUCAUUUUGUGUGCCACCCUGUUAGGUACAGCAAUCACUUGGAGUAGUAUGCCAUCAUUUUGUAUGCCACCCUGUUAGGUACAGCAAUCACUUGGAGUAGUAUGCCAUCAUUUUGUGUGCCACCCUGUUAGGUACAGCAAUCACUUGGAGUAGUAUGCCAUCAUUUUGUGUGCCACCCUGUUAGGUACAGCAAUCACUUGGAGUAGUAUGCCAUCAUUUUGUGUGCCACCCUGUUAGGUACAGCAAUCACUUGGAGUAGUAUGCCAUCAUUUUGUGUGCCACCCUGUUAGGUACAGCAAUCACUUGGAGUAGUAUGCCAUCAUUUUGUGUGCCACCCUGUUAGGUACAGCAAUCACUUGGAGUAGUAUGCCAUCAUUUUGUAUGCCACCCUGUUAGGUACAGCAAUCACUUGGAGUAGUAUGCCAUCAUUUUGUAUGCCACCCUGUUAGGUACAGCAAUCACUUGGAGUAUUAUGCCAUCAUUUUGUGUGCCACCCUGUUAGGUACAGCAAUCACUUGGAGUAUUAUGCCAUCAUUUUGUAUGCCACCCUGUUAGGUACAGCAAUCACUUGGAGUAGUAUGCCAUCAUUUUGUAUGCCACCCUGUUAGGUACAGCAAUCACU